CCGUCGAUAGCUCAGUUGGUAGAGCGGUGGACUGUAGAUGCAUAGGUCGCUGGUUCGAAUCCGGCUCGAUGGA
This 73-nucleotide transfer RNA is filed under the name Dermacentor silvarum. RNAcentral describes it as "transfer RNA tyrosine (anticodon GUA)". It matches the Rfam family "tRNA". From Rfam's summary of the family: Transfer RNA (tRNA) molecules are approximately 80 nucleotides in length. The record is from RNAcentral. Lineage: Eukaryota; Metazoa; Arthropoda; Arachnida; Ixodida; Ixodidae.